AAUUUCCACCAGGACUCUAACCAGGACCAAUGAUCUGAAAA
Molecule: transfer RNA, 41 nt
Filed under: Alytes cisternasii (Iberian midwife toad)
Lineage: Eukaryota; Metazoa; Chordata; Amphibia; Anura; Alytidae
Description: partial tRNA-Glu
Source: RNAcentral